Molecule: small nuclear RNA, 113 nt
Organism: Loxodonta africana (African savanna elephant)
Lineage: Eukaryota; Metazoa; Chordata; Mammalia; Proboscidea; Elephantidae
Source: Ensembl
GCGCUGGCUCUGACAGGACAUAUACUAAAAUUAGGACAAUAGAUAGAGAGAAGACUCGAGUGGCCCCUGCGCAAGGAUGACACGUGCAAAUUCGUGAAGCUUUCCGUAUUGUU